UCUAAUACCGGAUACGACACGGGAUCGCAUGAUCUCCGUGUGGAAAGCUCCGGCGGUGCAGGAUGAGCCCGCGGCCUAUCAGCUUGUUGGUGAGGUAAUGGCCUACCAAGGCGACGACGGG
RNAcentral lists this ribosomal RNA (121 nucleotides) under Streptomyces chrestomyceticus. RNAcentral's name for it is "partial 16S rRNA". It matches the Rfam family "Bacterial small subunit ribosomal RNA", at positions 162 to 283 of the family's 1533-position model. The record is from RNAcentral. Lineage: Bacteria; Bacillati; Actinomycetota; Actinomycetes; Kitasatosporales; Streptomycetaceae.